This is a non-coding RNA of Bactrocera oleae (olive fruit fly), 2257 nucleotides long. Lineage: Eukaryota; Metazoa; Arthropoda; Insecta; Diptera; Tephritidae. The record is from RefSeq and is a predicted model, not a curated record.
ACAUUUUUUUAAAGAGAAAUGAGAAGAAUGAGGCAUUGACUCGUAAAUUUCACAAUCAAUUAUUUAUAUUUCUGAAGCGCCAUGCAACCCAUUCAUCUUUACCGAAUUAGACUUCUAACUUUUUAGAAUUGUUACGAACUUUGAGUGCAUAAAUUCAGUGGCGUUUGACAUUGUGGACUAGCAUUGCACUUUUUUCUUUUUAUAUUGGGUUAUUCUUCAGUAAAUUAGUGUAUUUAUGUACUAUUUAAAACAAAUCAAAUAAUAACAAAAUUUAUUUGAUGGAAAAAUUAUGACAUCUAGAAUAGGUCAUUUGAUUUCACUGAAUUUGAAUGACGUGGACUUUUUUAUCGAAAAAUGUGGAAUUUAGAGAAAUACUAGUUCUGGGCAGUUGUGCCGUUCGUUUCUUUAAUGAAGAAAUACUAAAACAAAAGACAAGCGCGAUGGUGAAUAAUGCUGAAGAACGCAACGUUAUACGAUAUGGAGGAAGCAUGGCCUGACAGCUGGCUUUUGAAGUGUUGCCAUUAUUAUAAAUUAAUUGUGAAACACUCAGAAAAAAUUCAUGUGAUUGAAAGUGGCAAAAUGAUAAAAUUAAAAAUAAAACCUAAAAGUGUUGCAUAAAUUAUCGAAAAAAAUAGGAACAUAUUAUUUAAAUAAAUUAAUUAAGUAUAUAUACCGAGUUUGUGAAUUUCUUCUGGGCAUAAUUUGAAACUUUAAAAAAGUUCUUCAAAUAUUUUCGAACCAUGAAAUGCAGUAAUUAAAAAAAUUAAACCAGAAAAGGCAAAUUUGGCUGUAUAUUCAAAAUUUAGAUCAAGAAAUGUUUAAACUAUACUAAAUAAAAGAACGAAUUUUAAAUCUGUUCUAUUUUAAUAUACUUACAUACAUUCAUCACAAUACCUUGAAGAGUACAAGUAUCUGUGAAUGGAUGCCUAUGUUUUUACGACGGACAUAUAAAUUCAUUUGUACGUGUAUUCAUUUCAUGCAAGUAAGAAUAUGCAAAAUGUUCUAUUUCAAUAGGGGACAAAAUGUAUUGAAAAUAAUAUUUAGCUACAAAGUAAGAUGUUAAGGGAAAAUUUUAUAGAUUUACUCAGUGUGAAAGAUCAUUUCCGAACACUUGAAUAACCGUUGAAUAUAGUCUUAGCCAUGAUAAUCCUCAACACGCAUUGAUGGCCAACUGGGAUAUUUAAAUGAACACAUGUUUAAAUACAUAUAAGUUUACCUAAUAUGCAUUAUGCAAGAUGCUAGGUACACGAAAUAUAAAUAUAGACAUCGUAUGUUUGUAUAGAAUAAUAUAAGUAUACAACUUUGCGAAAUUUUUGGGGAACUUAGAAAGAUAUACUCUCAAAUUGUUAGCAAUGAGGAUGUGGGUCGCAUAUACAAAGCGGCUCAUUUCGCAGCACAAAAUGUUCAUAAGAAAGUCUACAAUAUUGUACGUAAACUUUUUUGAAUACAGAAAAAAAGUUAUAAAUAAUUUUACAUGACAAGGCAAAGAAUGCACACAUUUCGUUACCAUUUAGUAUUUAGUAUUGUUCAAUAGUUGUUGCAAAAUAAACAGACCUAACAUGAAAAAAAAAAAUCUCAGCUGAUUAUAUAUAAACUCGUAUGUAUAACAAAAAUGAACAAAGAUAUGUAUUUAAAACUUUUUAAAUCUAAAAUAUAAAUGUUAUAAUUUUUUAACUCCAAGGUCAUGUAAAUUUAAUUACACAUUUAAAUAUCACAUGUAUGGUAUACAAUAUGUAUGAAAGAAAUUUGAAAACAAUAAAAAAUACGAUUUAUACGAACAAUACGAUGGUAUGAUUUUGUAAAUUUUCGAGAAUUCGCCAUACGUUAGGGGAUAUAUGUGAUCUAUGGUGUGAAAUGCUUCUAACUGAUGAGGAAGUAAUUGUCCAAUAUUUAAAAAAAUUAAGGUACCAACUCGAAGUAAGUUUGUUAAUUCUGAGUGAUGCAUUACAGUCGCCACUUGCCUAUUUUCGUCUCUUUCAACAAACACACGUCUAUGAACGAAAACACAAUGCUCUCUUAUUGCACAUGGUAAGUGAAAAACUUGGUUGCAACGAUUUUUAAAACAGCGUACUGUGGCACCGAGUUGUUGACAUCCGCUACACGAUUGAUUAAGGCCCAUCUGUAAAGCUGCGGGAAAGUUCAUAAGGCCACCGCUUAUAGUCUCAUACACUUCGCUAGACCACAGAGCGCAGUUUAAAUGUACCUAGAAUGAUGGUGAAUUAUAAUAAAUAAAUAUUAUUGUUUGGCUUCUGUUUUA